Long non-coding RNA from Ailuropoda melanoleuca (giant panda), 434 nucleotides. RefSeq lists it as uncharacterized. The record is from RefSeq and is a predicted model, not a curated record. The transcript is spliced from 3 exons. Lineage: Eukaryota; Metazoa; Chordata; Mammalia; Carnivora; Ursidae.
GACGCUGAUGGGGAGAGCAGAGGAAAUGGAGAAAAAAGGAAGAGAGGCCCAUAGAGUCGUGAGAAGAGAAAGAACAGCCAGCCGGUUCCAAAUACUGACUCCGAGCCACGAAGGAGUGAUUUGACCCCUGGGUCCCAAUGUCCUUACCUGUGAGACGAGAACAGCGACAACUAACUUGCAGACGUGACCUCAUCCUUACCACUAGGUGUCAGCGAAGUGUCAACCUCGGUGCAGAAGCCAAUGAUCCUCCCUGUGAUGGGUGGUCAGCUCAGCGGUAGCCUCACGUCACAGCGCCUGCGUCGCUCGCCUCCCUUCACCUCUCACGUGGGCAUUCUGUCACCUCCCAUCAUCACGACAUGGUUGAGGACAGCUCGAGAAGAACAAAUGAUGCUCAAGAAUCCCACGUCAGUGGAACUGCCAAGAUCUCCGAGCUG